RNAcentral lists this ribosomal RNA (420 nucleotides) under Rhizobium leguminosarum. RNAcentral describes it as "bacterial SSU rRNA". It matches the Rfam family "Bacterial small subunit ribosomal RNA", at positions 9 to 477 of the family's 1533-position model. Lineage: Bacteria; Pseudomonadati; Pseudomonadota; Alphaproteobacteria; Hyphomicrobiales; Rhizobiaceae. The record is from RNAcentral.
GAGUUUGGACCUGGCUCAGAACGAACGCUGGCGGCAGGCUUAACACAUGCAAGUCGAGCGCCCCGCAAGGGGAGCGGCAGACGGGUGAGUAACGCGUGGGAAUCUACCCUUGACUACGGAAUAACGCAGGGAAACUUGUGCUAAUACCGUAUGUGUCCUUCGGGAGAAAGAUUUAUCGGUCAAGGAUGAGCCCGCGUUGGAUUAGCUAGUUGGUGGGGUAAAGGCCUACCAAGGCGACGAUCCAUAGCUGGUCUGAGAGGAUGAUCAGCCACAUUGGGACUGAGACACGGCCCAAACUCCUACGGGAGGCAGCAGUGGGGAAUAUUGGACAAUGGGCGCAAGCCUGAUCCAGCCAUGCCGCGUGAGUGAUGAAGGCCCUAGGGUUGUAAAGCUCUUUCACCGGAGAAGAUAAUGACGGUA